RNAcentral lists this transfer RNA (69 nucleotides) under Ictidomys tridecemlineatus (thirteen-lined ground squirrel). Its description in RNAcentral is "Spermophilus tridecemlineatus (thirteen-lined ground squirrel) tRNA". It matches the Rfam family "tRNA". From Rfam's summary of the family: Transfer RNA (tRNA) molecules are approximately 80 nucleotides in length. Their secondary structure includes four short double-helical elements and three loops (D, anti-codon, and T loops). Lineage: Eukaryota; Metazoa; Chordata; Mammalia; Rodentia; Sciuridae. The record is from Rfam by way of RNAcentral.
GGCGUUGUGACUCAGUGGUAGAGUGCUUGCCUUGCAUGCAUGAGGCCCUGGGUUUGAUCCUCAGCACCA